This 349-nucleotide unclassified non-coding RNA is filed under the name soil metagenome. RNAcentral's name for it is "partial contains 5.8S ribosomal RNA, internal transcribed spacer 2, and large subunit ribosomal RNA". The stretch from base 1 to 120 matches the Rfam family "5.8S ribosomal RNA", at positions 35 to 154 of the family's 154-position model. The record is from RNAcentral.
GAUGAAGAACGUAGCGAAAUGCGAUAAGUAAUGUGAAUUGCAGAAUUCAGUGAAUCAUCGAAUCUUUGAACGCACAUUGCGCCCGCCAGCACUCUGGCGGGCAUGCCUGUCCGAGCGUCAUUUCAACCCUCAGGGCCCCUUCGGGGGACCUGGCGUUGGGGAUCGGCCCGCCCCCGUGCGGCGCCGUCCCCGAAAUAUAGUGGCGGUCUCGCUGCAGCCUCCCCUGCGUAGUAGCACACCUCGCACUGGAGAGCGGCGCGGCCACGCCGUGAAACCCCCAACUUCUGAAUGUUGACCUCGGAUCAGGUAGGAAUACCCGCUGAACUUAAGCAUAUCAAUAAGCGGGGGA